Molecule: long non-coding RNA, 984 nt
Organism: Cyprinus carpio carpio
Lineage: Eukaryota; Metazoa; Chordata; Actinopteri; Cypriniformes; Cyprinidae
Source: Ensembl
ACACAUAUAUACACACAUAUAUUAUGAAGCUUUUUUUUUUUUUCUGAUGGAGCGUGUGCCGCUAUAGUGCAUGGAAACAUGACGUAAUGCAGUAAGGUAAUUCCACAUCCAUGAAACGCUUGCGCUCUGAUGCAAUUGCCCUUUUUAGGAGACAUUCGUCAUUCAGAUGAUUACAAUACUAGGCCAGUGAAUGCCUGUUGCUGCACUGAUUGAAAAGUGCAUGGGUGGAACUGGAAUAUCAACAUCUGAACCAGGAUAAAUCCAUGGCAAACCAUUUCAUUUGGAGAUAUAACGCAAAUGAACAAAACUGCAUCUCUGGAGGCGAUAUCUCCAGCUCUAUCAGCCAGGUCGAGAUGCAGAUUUCCAAAAGCCCUUUUAUCGCCACUGUCAAUGCAGUCACAUCGAGACAAGAGCUGCGCUGGAGAAUCGAGCCUGUGAUGCCCAGUGAGAGUCUGGAGCAGACCAGAGAACCCACAGCAGCUCACAGAGAAAGCUUCAAAAGAAAUGCACAGGUAAAAUGCAACAUAUUAUAACAUAUUAUUAUUUCUGGAUAGACGCAUAAAAUAAACUCAUAAAAUACCACAAAUAAAUUAUUACAACAUACAAGACAUGCUUGUCCUGAAAACAAAAUGAAAAUCUUCAUUAGAUGGUUUCUGCCUGAAAGGUGUGUUAUACAGUGUGACAACUAGCCCCGCAACCACAGACGAGAACUUAUUCACCUUCUUCAGGAGGUGAAUAAUAGGGCUGCACUGCCAUUUUUAUUUUCAUAUUGUGUUCAGGGUGGUGCACCUUUCUGAUACAUCUUGUUUGUCCAGUUUUAACUUGAGACUUCUGUAAUUGUACAAAGAGUCUGUUAAGAAUGACAUAUGAAUAAUGAAUCACCCAAGUAUUAACAACACAUAAAUGAACGUUUCCAUAUAGUUUCAAUUUGAAAAUCAAAACAAGAAUUCCACUGCACAGUCACACUCUCAAAAACAAAAGUUG